UACGUAGGGGGCAAGCGUUAUCCGGAUUUACUGGGUGUAAGGGGGGCGCAGACGGCGCGGCAAGUCCGGAGUGAAAUCCCAGGGCCCAACCCUGGGGCUGCUCUGGAAACUGCCGGGCUGGAGUGCUGGAGGGGCAGGCGGAAUUCCUAGUGUAGCGGUGAAAUGCGUAGAUAUUAGGAGGAACCCCGGUGGCGAAGGCGGCCUGCUGGACAGCGACUGACGUUGAGGCCCGAAAGCGUGGGGAGCAAACAGG
Molecule: ribosomal RNA, 253 nt
Filed under: uncultured bacterium
Lineage: Bacteria
Description: partial 16S ribosomal RNA
Rfam family: Bacterial small subunit ribosomal RNA
Source: RNAcentral